GACGAACGCUGGCGGCGUGCUUAACACAUGCAAGUCGAACGGAAAGGCCCUGCUUUUGUGGGGUGCUCGAGUGGCGAACGGGUGAGUAACACGUGAGUAACCUGCCCUUGACUUUGGGAUAACUUCAGGAAACUGGGGCUAAUACCGGAUAGGAGCUCCUGCUGCAUGGUGGGGGUUGGAAAGUUUCGGCGGUUGGGGAUGGACUCGCGGCUUAUCAGCUUGUUGGUGAGGUAGUGGCUUACCAAGGCUUUGACGGGUAGCCGGCCUGAGAGGGUGAACGGCCACAUUGGGACUGAGAUACGGCCCAGACGCCUACGGGAGGCAGAAGUGGGGAAUAUUGCACAAUGGGCGGAAGCCUGAUGCAGCAACGCCGCGUGCGGGAUGACGGCCUUCGGGUUGUAAACCGCUUUCGCCUGUGACGAAGCGUGAGUGACGGUAAUGGGUAAAGAAGCACCGGCUAACUACGUG
RNAcentral lists this ribosomal RNA (468 nucleotides) under uncultured bacterium. Its description in RNAcentral is "partial 16S ribosomal RNA". It matches the Rfam family "Bacterial small subunit ribosomal RNA", at positions 28 to 507 of the family's 1533-position model. The record is from RNAcentral.